This 253-nucleotide ribosomal RNA is filed under the name uncultured bacterium. RNAcentral describes it as "partial 16S ribosomal RNA". It matches the Rfam family "Bacterial small subunit ribosomal RNA", at positions 524 to 776 of the family's 1533-position model. The record is from RNAcentral.
UACGAAGGGGGCUAGCGUUGCUCGGAAUUACUGGGCGUAAAGGGCGCGUAGGCGGACAGUUUAGUCAGAGGUGAAAGCCCAGGGCUCAACCUUGGAAUUGCCUUUGAUACUGGCUGUCUUGAGUACGGGAGAGGUGAGUGGAACUCCGGGUGGAGUGGUGAAAUGCGUAGAGAUCCGGAGGAACACCAAAGGCGAAGGCAGUGUCCUGGGGAGUACCUGACGCUCAGGUGCGAAAGCCAGGGGAGCGAACGGG